RNAcentral lists this small RNA (125 nucleotides) under Marmota monax (woodchuck). Lineage: Eukaryota; Metazoa; Chordata; Mammalia; Rodentia; Sciuridae. The record is from RNAcentral.
GCUGGGUGGAGUGGUUCACACCUGUAGUCCCAGCUACUUAGAAGACUGAAGCAGGAGGACCACUUGAGCCCAGUAGUUCAGUAGUUUGAGGCCAGCAUGGGCAACAUAGUGAGAUCCCUAUCUAU